AUUGAACGCUGGCGGCAGGCCUAACACAUGCAAGUCGAACGAGUGGCGAGCGGGUGAGUAAUGUGUGGGAAAGUGCCAGGUGGUGGGGGAUAACUACUGGAAAGGAUAGCUAAUACAGCAAAAUAUGAGAUGUGCCGAUAUGGGAUUAGCUAAUAGGUGGGGUAAAGGCUCACCUAGGAGACGAUCCAUAGCUGGUCUGAGAGGAUGACCCGCCACACUGGAACUGAGACACGGUCCAGACUCCUACGGGAGGCAGCAGUGGGGAAUAUUGCACAAUGGGCGCAAGCCUGAUGCAGCCAUGCCGCGUGUAUGAAGAAGGCCUUCGGGUUGUAAAGUACUUUCAGCGGGGAGGCGUUACCCGAAGAAGAAGCACCGGCUAACUCCGUGCCAGCAGCCGCGGUAAUAC
This 406-nucleotide ribosomal RNA is filed under the name uncultured bacterium. RNAcentral's name for it is "partial 16S ribosomal RNA". It matches the Rfam family "Bacterial small subunit ribosomal RNA", at positions 30 to 526 of the family's 1533-position model. The record is from RNAcentral.